This 801-nucleotide ribosomal RNA is filed under the name Triticum aestivum (bread wheat). Its description in RNAcentral is "partial small subunit ribosomal RNA". The record is from RNAcentral. Lineage: Eukaryota; Viridiplantae; Streptophyta; Magnoliopsida; Poales; Poaceae.
AUGGACCAGGGCGCGGUCGACGCGGUCACCAAAUGGCAAAUGCUCGUGCCGGCGCUCCCCGACGACCUCAGCAUACGUGUGGUAAUCCAAAAGAGUCAGGCCAACUUCCAGACCCUAUACCUCGGCAACUGUAGCACGGUGGUGGCGACGAUGCGCAGCAGUUUCCCGGAGCUCGGGGUGACAAGCGCGGACUGCAAGGAGAUGAGCUGGCUGCGGUACACGGCGUACAUAUACUUCGGCGAGGCCAUCAACAGCAAGCCACUGGAGGCGCUCCUCCUCAACCGGUCCACAACCUUAGGCCCCUUCGUUAAGAACAAGUCCGACUACGUCAAGAAAGCCCUCACCAAGGAGACCUGGAAGAAGAUCUUCCUCUGGCCCAACGGCACGGGGUCGGGGCAACUCAUCCUUGAGCCGCACGGCGGAAUAAUGGGCCGCAUCUCCGCCAACAAGAUCCCGUUCCCACACCGGAGCAACAUGCUCUACAACAUCCAAUACGUGGAGCUGUGGAAGGGCAAAGAGGCCGGGGGCGACAUUACACCGAACUGGAUUGGGAGCCUUUACGAGUUCAUGACGCCGUACGUGAGCAAGAACCCGAGGGGCGCCUACGUGAACUACCGGGACCUCGACAUGGGCGUGAACAAGGUGGUCGGUGGGGUCACGUGCUAUGAAACUGAAAAGGUGUGGGGCGAGAGCUAUUUCGGGCCGGCAAACUUCAGGAGACUCACCAAGAUCAAGCGCAAGGUGGACGCCAGCGACUACUUCCAGAACGAGCAGAGCGUGCCGCCACUUCCCUUGAAGUAG